Molecule: ribosomal RNA, 227 nt
Filed under: uncultured bacterium
Lineage: Bacteria
Description: partial 16S ribosomal RNA
Rfam family: Bacterial small subunit ribosomal RNA
Source: RNAcentral
AGAGUUUGAUCCUGGCUCAGGACGAACGCUGGCGGCGUGCCUAACACAUGCAAGUCGAGCGGAGACAGUGAGUAGCUUGCUAUGAGCUGUUUUAGCGGCGGACGGGUGAGUAACGCGUGAGCAACCUUUCCCAGACAGGGGAAUAACACACCGAAAGGUGUACUAAUACCGCAUAAGACCACGGGAUCACAUGGUUCUGGGGUAAAAGAUUUAUCGGUUUGGGUGGU